GGUGGUUGUAGCUCAGUUGGUAGAGCGCCGGAUUGUGGUUCCGGACGGCGCGGGUUCAAGUCCCGUCAGUCACCU
RNAcentral lists this transfer RNA (75 nucleotides) under Borrelia hermsii. Its description in RNAcentral is "tRNA-His". It matches the Rfam family "tRNA". Rfam says of the family: Transfer RNA (tRNA) molecules are approximately 80 nucleotides in length. Their secondary structure includes four short double-helical elements and three loops (D, anti-codon, and T loops). Further hydrogen bonds mediate the characteristic L-shaped molecular structure. tRNAs have two regions of fundamental functional importance: the anti-codon, which is responsible for specific mRNA codon recognition, and the 3' end, to which the tRNAs corresponding amino acid is attached (by aminoacyl-tRNA synthetases). tRNAs cope with the degeneracy of the genetic code in two manners: having more than one tRNA (with a specific anti-codon) for a particular amino acid; and 'wobble' base-pairing, i.e. permitting non-standard base-pairing at the 3rd anti-codon position. Lineage: Bacteria; Pseudomonadati; Spirochaetota; Spirochaetia; Spirochaetales; Borreliaceae. The record is from RNAcentral. RNAcentral also lists the same sequence under 2 other names.